UGAAUCAUGUUUUGGUGAUUCUGCAUCAAUAGAUAUUCUAAUUAAUGGUUGCUGAGAAAGCAUAAAGUAAUCAAACUCAGAAAUAAUUAAGUAACAAUCUAUUCUUAGCUUUGUGAAUGCCACACCGAACCGACCUCAUCGGUUAUUAGAAAUUUCAAACGGCAACCAUUCAUAAAAGCAGAAAAACUGAUAUUUUUUGGGUAUGCCAGUUUUGGGCUUGAAUUUCAGUUUCAGUUUCAUCCCCAACAUGCAUGAAUCCAAUAACAAAUAGAACACAGCAAACAAAGAAAAGGCAUAUUUAGCAGAGUGGCUAGAAGUCAUAGAUUAGGCCAAGCCAUCUGCUUAACAGAAAAUAGAGAGAGCAGUGUUUCCUUGUAGUCGCUGUCUCAGAAAACAGUAUUAUAAAAAGAAAGAUAGAACAAAUAAUUUGCAGUAUGCAAAAGCAAUUUUAUGAUAUCAUAAUAAAUUUCUCAUGUAUUUCUAGGAUUUUUAUGAUAUCAUUAACAAAAGCAUAUGGACGAGAAAUGGAGAAAGCCACAUGAAAACUAAAUUUAGCAAUCUCAUAUACCUUGUAAUGUCUGCAACUGCAGGAUCUCUAAAUUGCAACCAUUUCUUACAUCAAAAUGGAGAAAACCACUUUCAUGUGCCAUCAAGAUAUUUAUGAGAGAAUUAGAGGAUUUAGAUGAAAGAUGAGGGGAAGGAUGCAAGAUAGAUUUGAGGAAAGAAGAGGAUGCUAGCGGCUGUAACUGCAAAUUGAAGUAAUUACAGUGGGUUUUUUAGGUCAAGAGCUUUAUAUAUAACCACAAUAUGGUAAGCUUUGAUUAAAUAAUUAGAUGUUCGGGUCGGGUCAGUU
Molecule: unclassified non-coding RNA, 853 nt
Filed under: Hevea brasiliensis (rubber tree)
Lineage: Eukaryota; Viridiplantae; Streptophyta; Magnoliopsida; Malpighiales; Euphorbiaceae
Source: RNAcentral